RNAcentral lists this ribosomal RNA (743 nucleotides) under Levilactobacillus brevis. Its description in RNAcentral is "bacterial SSU rRNA". It matches the Rfam family "Bacterial small subunit ribosomal RNA", at positions 51 to 759 of the family's 1533-position model. Lineage: Bacteria; Bacillati; Bacillota; Bacilli; Lactobacillales; Lactobacillaceae. The record is from RNAcentral.
AUACAUGCAAGUCGAACGAGCUUCCGUUGAAUGACGUGCUUGCACUGAUUUCAACAAUGAAGCGAGUGGCGAACUGGUGAGUAACACGUGGGAAAUCUGCCCAGAAGCAGGGGAUAACACUUGGAAACAGGUGCUAAUACCGUAUAACAACAAAAUCCGCAUGGAUUUUGUUUGAAAGGUGGCUUCGGCUAUCACUUCUGGAUGAUCCCGCGGCGUAUUAGUUAGUUGGUGAGGUAAAGGCCCACCAAGACGAUGAUACGUAGCCGACCUGAGAGGGUAAUCGGCCACAUUGGGACUGAGACACGGCCCAAACUCCUACGGGAGGCAGCAGUAGGGAAUCUUCCACAAUGGACGAAAGUCUGAUGGAGCAAUGCCGCGUGAGUGAAGAAGGGUUUCGGCUCGUAAAACUCUGUUGUUAAAGAAGAACACCUUUGAGAGUAACUGUUCAAGGGUUGACGGUAUUUAACCAGAAAGCCACGGCUAACUACGUGCCAGCAGCCGCGGUAAUACGUAGGUGGCAAGCGUUGUCCGGAUUUAUUGGGCGUAAAGCGAGCGCAGGCGGUUUUUUAAGUCUGAUGUGAAAGCCUUCGGCUUAACCGGAGAAGUGCAUCGGAAACUGGGAGACUUGAGUGCAGAAGAGGACAGUGGAACUCCAUGUGUAGCGGUGGAAUGCGUAGAUAUAUGGAAGAACACCAGUGGCGAAGGCGGCUGUCUAGUCUGUAACUGACGCUGAGGCUCGAAAG